CCUACGGGUGGCAGCAGUAGGGAAUCUUCCACAAUGGGCGCAAGCCUGAUGGAGCAACGCCGCGUGGGUGAAGAAGGUCUUCGGAUCGUAAAAUCCUGUUGUCUGAGAAGAAAGUGCGUGAGAUUAUCUGUUCACGCUUCGACGGUACCUAACCAGAAAGCCACGGCUAACUACGUGCCAGCAGCCGCGGUAAUACGUAGGUGGCAAGCGUUAUCCGGAUUUAUUGGGCGUAAAGCGCACGCAGGCGGUCUGUUAAGUCUGAUGUGAAAGCCUUCGGCUUAACCGGAGUAGUGCAUUGGAGACUGGGAGGCUUGAGUGCCGAAGAGGAGGGGAGAACUCCAGGUGUAGCGGUGAAAUGCGUAGAUAUAUGGAGGAACACCGGUGGCGAAGGCGGCUCCCUGGUC
Molecule: ribosomal RNA, 404 nt
Filed under: uncultured bacterium
Lineage: Bacteria
Description: partial 16S ribosomal RNA
Rfam family: Bacterial small subunit ribosomal RNA
Source: RNAcentral